RNAcentral lists this ribosomal RNA (230 nucleotides) under Bacillus sp. (in: firmicutes). RNAcentral describes it as "Bacillus sp. (in: Bacteria) partial 16S ribosomal RNA". It matches the Rfam family "Bacterial small subunit ribosomal RNA", at positions 566 to 795 of the family's 1533-position model. Lineage: Bacteria; Bacillati; Bacillota; Bacilli; Caryophanales; Bacillaceae. The record is from RNAcentral.
GGCUCGCAGGCGGUUUCUUAAGUCUGAUGUGAAAGCCCCCGGCUCAACCGGGGAGGGUCAUUGGAAACUGGGGAACUUGAGUGCAGAAGAGGAGAGUGGAAUUCCACGUGUAGCGGUGAAAUGCGUAGAGAUGUGGAGGAACACCAGUGGCGAAGGCGACUCUCUGGUCUGUAACUGACGCUGAGGAGCGAAAGCGUGGGGAGCGAACAGGAUUAGAUACCCCCGUAGUC